GUCGGUGACCACAGGUGGGAGGAAACACCUGUUCCCAUCCCGAACACAGAAGUUAAGCUCCUGCCGCCGAUGAUACUGCACCGCGGGAAAGUAGGUCGUUGCCGACA
RNAcentral lists this ribosomal RNA (107 nucleotides) under Planctomycetota bacterium. The record is from RNAcentral. Lineage: Bacteria; Pseudomonadati; Planctomycetota.